GCCGGAGCAGGAUUGCAGUCUUCUCUGAGCAGGAGACCCUCCCUUGAAUCCCGGCACUGGGACGUCUCACCCUCUCGCGGCACCUGUUGCAGGUGACAGAGACGUCGAGUCCCCUUUUCGGUGGUUCCUCGAUCAGCGCUUGGUCGUCGCGCCGGGUCUCAGUCUCGCACAGCUUCCGGACCUCAGACCUCGCGACGUCAACUUCUCCAGCCUCCAUAGGACCGUCAAAGUAAGUACACUGCUUCUUCAGGACCAGAGGACCUAGCAUUCCGGAAUAUUGCUUUUGUCGUGGUUGACCCUAAACCUUGUGCAUUUGUGACAGAAAUUAAUUUUCACCGCAUCCUG
RNAcentral lists this long non-coding RNA (345 nucleotides) under Ursus maritimus (polar bear). Its description in RNAcentral is "lncRNA (ENSUMAG00000012849.1)". The record is from RNAcentral. Lineage: Eukaryota; Metazoa; Chordata; Mammalia; Carnivora; Ursidae.